This 733-nucleotide ribosomal RNA is filed under the name uncultured bacterium. RNAcentral describes it as "bacterial SSU rRNA". It matches the Rfam family "Bacterial small subunit ribosomal RNA", at positions 56 to 802 of the family's 1533-position model. The record is from RNAcentral.
UGCAAGUCGAACGAGAGAGAAGGAGCUUGCUUCUUCGAUCGAGUGGCGAACGGGUGAGUAACGCGUGAGGAACCUGCCUCAAAGAGGGGGACAACAGUUGGAAACGACUGCUAAUACCGCAUAAGCCCACGGAUCGGCAUUGAUCUGAGGGAAAAGGAGCAAUCCGCUUUGAGAUGGCCUCGCGUCCGAUUAGCUAGUUGGUGAGGUAAUGGCCCACCAAGGCGACGAUCGGUAGCCGGACUGAGAGGUUGAACGGCCACAUUGGGACUGAGACACGGCCCAGACUCCUACGGGAGGCAGCAGUGGGGAAUAUUGCACAAUGGGGGAAACCCUGAUGCAGCGACGCCGCGUGGAGGAAGAAGGUCUUCGGAUUGUAAACUCCUGUUGUUGAGGAAGAUAAUGACGGUACUCAACAAGGAAGUGACGGCUAACUACGUGCCAGCAGCCGCGGUAAAACGUAGGUCACAAGCGUUGUCCGGAAUUACUGGGUGUAAAGGGAGCGCAGGCGGGAAGACAAGUUGGAAGUGAAAUCUAUGGGCUCAACCCAUAAACUGCUUUCAAAACUGUUUUUCUUGAGUAGUGCAGAGGUAGGCGGAAUUCCCGGUGUAGCGGUGGAAUGCGUAGAUAUCGGGAGGAACACCAGUGGCGAAGGCGGCCUACUGGGCACCAACUGACGCUGAGGCUCGAAAGUGUGGGUAGCAAACAGGAUUAGAUACCCUGGUAGUCCACACCG